Molecule: small RNA, 46 nt
Filed under: Frischella japonica
Lineage: Bacteria; Pseudomonadati; Pseudomonadota; Gammaproteobacteria; Orbales; Orbaceae
Description: Pseudomonas sRNA P26
Rfam family: Pseudomonas sRNA P26
About the family: P26 is conserved across many Gammaproteobacteria species and appears to be consistently located between the DNA directed RNA polymerase (beta subunit) and 50S ribosomal protein L7/L12 genes.
Source: RNAcentral
AUGCAGCCUAAUAAGGCUGAUGGCUGGUGGUUUUUACCUCCAGCCU